UGGGGAAUAUUGCACAAUGGGGGAAACCCUGAUGCAGCGACGCCGCGUGAGUGAAGAAGUAUUUCGGUAUGUAAAGCUCUAUCAUCAGGGAAGAAAUUGACGGUACCUGACUAAGAAGCCCCGGCUAACUACGUGCCAGCAGCCGCGGUAAUACGUAGGGGGCAAGCGUUAUCCGGAUUUACUGGGUGUAAAGGGAGCGUAGACGGUAGUGCAAGUCUGAAGUGAAAGCUCGUGGCUUAACCAUGGAACUGCUUUGGAAACUGUACAACUAGAGUACCGGAGGGGUAAGCGGAAUUCCUAGUGUAGCGGUGAAAUGCGUAGAUAUUAGGAAGAACACCGGUGGCGAAGGCGGCUUACUGGACGGUAACUGACGUUGAGGCUCGAAAGCGUGGGGAGCAAACAGGAUUAGAUACCCUGGUA
Molecule: ribosomal RNA, 420 nt
Filed under: uncultured bacterium
Lineage: Bacteria
Description: bacterial SSU rRNA
Rfam family: Bacterial small subunit ribosomal RNA
Source: RNAcentral